AAGUCGAACGAUGAAGCUACAGCUUGCUGUGGUGGAUUAGUGGCGAACGGGUGAGUAAUACGUGAGUAACCUGCCCUUGUCUUUGGGAUAAGCCUGGGAAACUGGGUCUAAUACCGGAUAUUCUGCUUUCAUCGCAUGGUGGGGGUUGGAAAGGGUUUCUGGAUAGGGAUGGGCUCACGGCCUAUCAGCUUGUUGGUGGGGUGAUGGCCUACCAAGGCGUCGACGGGUAGCCGGCCUGAGAGGGUGACCGGCCACAUUGGGACUGAGAUACGGCCCAGACUCCUACGGGAGGCAGCAGUGGGGAAUAUUGCACAAUGGACGCAAGUCUGAUGCAGCGACGCCGCGUGGGGGAUGAAGGCUUUCGGGUUGUAAACUCCUUUCAGUACAGAACAAGGCCUUUUUGGUUGAGGGUAUGUGCAGAAGAAGCGCCGGCUAACUACGUGCCAGCAGCCGCGGUAAUACGUAGGGCGCGAGCGUUGUCCGGAAUUAUUGGGCGUAAAGAGCUCGUAGGCGGUUUGUUGCGCCUGCUGUGAAAGACUCGGGGCUUAACUUCGGGGUUGCAGUGGGUACGGGCAGACUAGAGUGUGGUAGGGGUAAUUGGAAUUCCUGGUGUAGCGGUGGAAUGCGCAGAUAUCAGGAG
Molecule: ribosomal RNA, 640 nt
Filed under: uncultured Actinomycetes bacterium
Lineage: Bacteria; Bacillati; Actinomycetota; Actinomycetes
Description: bacterial SSU rRNA
Rfam family: Bacterial small subunit ribosomal RNA
Source: RNAcentral